GGAACUUGACCAAGGUCUCACAUCAGCCCGCAGGAAUGGGAAAGGGACGGAGGAGUGGUCCUAUUGAAGAAAGAGAAAAAGAGAAGGCAACAUUGGCCUCCAGAAAACCAGCCAUGGUCGGGGACAUCAGACCUCUGGGAGAAGGUUGCCUAGCAGGGCUUGAACAGGAAGGGCUUGGGCCCAUUCUAUUCACCAGCUGAUCCCAACUCGACAGAGCCCUACAUACGGCAAGCUAAAUAAUCGUGGACUGAUUAGUUUGCACCUCCAAGUCAUUCUAGCAUGACAGAACCUCAGACCUGGACGGCCUUUGGAAAUCAACUGCUCUGAUCCUUUCCUUCUAGCGAGGGGGAAGCUGGUCCCUCUAACCAUUUCCCAGAUCAGCCGAACAACAAACCCAGAAGCCAAGGCUCCAAAGUGUUCUCCCACCCCAGUGCUCUCUCCACGGUGCUGCCCAUUGAAGACUCCCAUUUUUCCAGGGAAUUAGGACAUGCUUUUCUCGAAGCAGCUCUCUGACGCUGGGAGUAUCAUCAGUAUUAUUACCCUGUGUUACAGGUUAGGAAACUGACACCCAGAAAGGGGAGACUGAGUUGCUCAGCUGUUAAGACCUAGGGAGUCAAACUGAGGUCAUAGCAUCAUAGUGAUACUGUAAGUAAACUGAGGGUCACAGAACUUUGGUGACUUACCCAAUGUCAUCCGGGUAAUAAGAGAGGCAUGAUCUGAACCUAGAUCAUGCCUCAGGCCGUGUCAUUUCUACGGUGUCCCAUUGCCUCUCCUUGCCAAGCAUUCUCUCCUCUAUGGCACACUGCUUCUACAUUAAUAACAGGUCUCCAGGUCAUUGACUCAGCAGGACAGGGGGAGGAGGAGACUUUGACCAAUAAUGUUGGUUGACUGUCCAAAUGACUACUUGAGUCCACUUGUUUUCCACACGUUUUUAUUAAAGUGUAAACCCAA
Molecule: long non-coding RNA, 951 nt
Organism: Phascolarctos cinereus (koala)
Lineage: Eukaryota; Metazoa; Chordata; Mammalia; Diprotodontia; Phascolarctidae
Source: RefSeq, a predicted model, not a curated record